AAUACGAGUUGGCUUAUCGCGUCUGAGCAAUUGGGCGAGGAAAGUCCGGGCAGCAUAGGGCACCCUACUUCCUAACGGGAAGGAGGAUGGUUGGGAACGACCAUUCGACAGCCAGUGUCACAGAAAAUAUACCGCCCGUACUUAAUGUAUAAUUGACAAUGUAAAAUGAAUAAUGAAGGCUAUUGCUGGGAUUAUUCAUUAACCAUUAUACAUUAUUCAUUAAGUAGUGGUAAGGGUGAAAAGGUGGGGUAAGAGCCUACCGCCCGACGGGCGACCGGCGGGGCAGGAUAAACCUUAGGGGCUGAAAGACCAAAUAAGCGUCGGAUGUGGGGCGGCCCGUUCCCGUUUCGGAGAAAUCCGGAUGCCGACGCGGGUAGGUCGAACGAGGUGGCCGGUGACGACCAUCCCAGAUAAAUGAUAAGCCAUCUGAUGAGCCGAGAGGCUUACUUGGAGGACAGAACCCGGCUUAUAGACUCGUAUUGGGA
RNAcentral lists this RNase P RNA (485 nucleotides) under Spirosoma sp. KCTC 42546. Its description in RNAcentral is "Bacterial RNase P class A". It matches the Rfam family "Bacterial RNase P class A". Rfam says of the family: Ribonuclease P (RNase P) is a ubiquitous endoribonuclease, found in archaea, bacteria and eukarya as well as chloroplasts and mitochondria. Its best characterised activity is the generation of mature 5'-ends of tRNAs by cleaving the 5'-leader elements of precursor-tRNAs. Cellular RNase Ps are ribonucleoproteins. The record is from Rfam by way of RNAcentral. Lineage: Bacteria; Pseudomonadati; Bacteroidota; Cytophagia; Cytophagales; Cytophagaceae.